GGCACGAGGGUCCGUCAUGAGCACAGGCUCUGAUGACUCUGCACCAAACAAGAAUGCAAUGAGUCCCUCAGAGCUGCCCCAACUGUAGGAGAGCUGGUCGCCUGCCUAUCAGAGCAGAUCUCCACCUCCCCACUAGUGCUGGGCGGGGACUCUGCUGCCAUUUACAGAGCUGCUAACGGUGAUGAUGAGAACAGUGGUUUUCAUUCAGGGAGGGCUUGUAGGUGCCAGGCACUGGACAUGGUGCCUUUUAUUUUUAUUCCUGGAGGGAACCUAUGAGGGAGGUAAUUUUUUUAAAUAGAUGGGAUGGACAGGCUUUCAUGGGUUCAGUAACUCACCUAGGUUUAUAUUUAGCUGGGCCAGGUGCUUCACACACAUCUUGUUUAAAUUUUAUCUGCACGACUGCCUCCAUGGUAGGUGUCAACAUUUUUUUUUUCCAACCUGCCCUGUCCCACCCCUGGUGCUAACAUUCUGAUUUGAAGCUCAGGAAGUCUAGCUCAUUGACUCUCAUGAACACAGCUAGUCAAGGGGAGAGCCAGAUUUCAGGCCUAGGCUUCUGUGGUGCCCUGGGGGCAAGGUAACAGGAGGCUGAGGGGAGAGGGACCUGGGUGUGUAUUUCCUGUGGACUAGUGUGGACAGAGAGGCACGGCAAGGCCCCAGGCCUGCCCUGCCUCUGUGACCCAUGAGCACUCCCUCUGAGCACUCCCUGAGCACUUUCUCAUUUGUAAAAAGAAUGUUGGACAAGAUUACGACGUUGUGGAGAGGAUCAGCAUAUAUCACCCUGAAAUAUGCCACUUUAUUUUGAGUUGAAGGCAAUUGAGAAACAGCAGACACAAGCAAAGCUCUCUACCCUCCACCUUGCUGCCUAAUUUCCUUUUGCAAAGGUGUCCCCUCCAUCCUGCCCUUCUCGCAUCUGAGACGUAGGAGACAAGGAGACUGUUGUCGCUGGGGACAGCACCAACUUGAAUCUGCAUAACAAACCUCAGUGAAGUAACCCUUAUCUUCCAUUAGUUCCCCAGAUAUUUACCAUCCCACAAUUUACUGUCUCUAGAAACCAAAACCUUUGCCUUUGUCUUGUCAUUUCUCCACAAAUUUACUGCUCUUUGUUAAAAUGGUAUAUAAGCUCUCAGGCUUAACUGCUUCUUUGGGUUUUCACUUCUUUUUCUGUGAGAUGCCCCUGUACAUGUAAAGAUUAAAACAUUGACAUUAAAUAAAAUUAGCAUGCCCUCUUCUCCUGUUCAUCUAUCUUUAGUCAGUUUAAUUUGCGGGGUUCCAGGUACUGAACCAAAGAGGGUAGAGGAGAAAAUUUUUUCCUUCCUACAGUUAAUUGUACCUUUAGAAUUGUAACAUUUCACAAUUGUGUGAUAAUCUUUGUAAUGAAAAUAACGCUGUUAGAGAAUUAAAAGCCUGCACAAAAUUAAAAGCGGUAGCAUUAAGACGAGUUCGGUCUUGUCUGAGUACACGCCGGUUCCAGUCCAGAGCCACUGCUCCAUCGAGAGUGGCCAGAUGGAGAAUACCGGCCCCUGACGCAGGGCUGGGCGCUCGGGAGGGCCCGACAGCGCACAUGGGAGGAGAGGGAGGUGCCAGUGAAGGGGUGGAGGGUGGAGAGAACCUGUCAGCACAAUGAAAGGCAGGUGGAGGGGAGGGAGUGGCCAGUCUUUACUCAGGGGACACCACGGCUCUGUGGCUGUGACCCCAGGGCAACAAAAACCCAUGUCUGCCUCUUUUCUGCCAACUGGGGUUUCCAUGUCCUUGAAAACUCUUCCCCCAGCUUUGAUAAGAAGAAAAACAGUGUGUUCCCCUGCUCUCCUCCCACAGCCACCCUGGGGAACCCCCACCACGCACACAAGCCUUUGAUGGGGACAGAGGGCGAUCUGUCUGCAGAGACUGUAUGGAGCUUUGCAUAAAAUGUUUUGCUUUCUGUUCAUUCCCGCGUUCAGCAGGUUCCCAAACCCCGGCCCUAUCCCUCUGGGGGUGACAGCCUCAGCUUUCUAAUUCAUAAACACGUGAGAAUAUCCGAGCCUCCUUAUGCCAACGUGUGAAAUUAAAGCCGGCUGUGUCUAUGAGAAUACACCUUCCCUCAUCUUCUCCACCCUCCGUGGCGGUGUUUCCCAGCCUGGAAGGCCCUCCCACAGAGACAGUACUGUCCUGGCCAGAAGGCCUGCCAGGGCAGUCCCAAAGGCAGGGGCUUAGAAAUUGGCUGGGAUUCCCAUGUGCUAACUGCCAGCUAUAUGGCAUCCUGUGAGUUUUUUAUGAAAUGAGGACAAGUACUAUCUGGAAAAAUUGGUUCUGUUAAGGAAAAUGAUGAUGAGGCCAAGUGCUGGCACAGCCACUCCAGUGCACAUUAACAUACCAAUUCAGGGACACAGUUAAACAGCCCACGGCUGGCCUGGGGGUCCAUUCACAACGGCAAAAAAGGCUAUGACAAAUCGCCCCUUAAGUUCCAGGUAAACAGGAUAUAAAUGAACUUUUGUAAAGUUUAUAACUCUUGCGAACUGCUGGGGACUUUUGCAUGAGAAUGGCAACUUGCAAAGUGACCUGAUUUCUAACCACGGUAUACGGAAGGACCUUUCUAAAUGAUCCUUUGUGUAAAGGCCAAGAAUGAUUUUCAAGGUCCCAUGUGAAAAGUGGGAGACAAUUGCCAUAGCAAAUUUAUGAAGUGACAGAGCAGCAAUCUUUACGGAAAACAGCUGGGGCCCAACAGGCCAGGGCGGCCCACGGCGUGGCGGAGGCGGGAGAACCGAGAGGCCGUCCCGGGGGACCUGUAGCUUUGAUGCGAUCAGUCUAGAAGGGAAACAUUUAGCUUUUGGGAAAACAGGAACAGAGGCACUAUAGGUUAGAGCAAUUCUAUCGAGCAUUUAGAAGAGUCACGUCUUCACACUAUGUUCCUUCUUUAAGGGCCAAGUUGGACGCGAGGCGCCUCUCCCUCGCGGUCCGUGUAAAUGUGUGUGGUGUCACCAUCACACGCGUGAUGUCAGCGGUCUGGCUUCUGCGGGUUCUUGGCUGUGAUGGAAACACAUUCAGAAUGUGCAGAACUUGACAAAGAGAAACACUCCUCAUGCGGAGGCUUUUGAGAGGCCGAGAGACGCCCGCAGAGGCCCUUUUGAGGCUCGCUGGGAAGAGUUUCUCAGAAAGCAUUCCCUUGUGUCAGGCUGACAGGGAAAAUGCUAUUAAAUACGAAGGAUCGAAGCAUUAGAAAAGUCAUUGCACUGAAACACAAUUUUUGUUGCUAUUGUUGAAAAGACAUUAUUCCAAAGCUUAACUUGUAUAUAGUGUAAGAGGCUGUUUCAAGGUGUGUUUAGAGAACACACUUAAAACUCACUUUUAGUAAGACAAAUGUCAGACCUCACUGGAGAAAGCUCCUACAGUAGAUUGGUUUUCUUUUCUCUUUCUCUUUCUCUCUUUCUCCCCCAACCCCUUUGGGUCCAGAGCAUGAAAACACACAGAAAAUCAUAGUAUAACAUUACCCCAUUUAGGAUGUGACUCUGCAGUUACUGGUUAAGCAUUGCUAUAGUAUUAGGUGACAUUCAAAAGUAAAUGCUGUCAUGCCAAACCACCCCAGGCAUGGGGAAUGUUCAGCCAGCACUUCUGAUUCGCGCUGGGCUGCCUUCCACACAGUUGACAGAAGAGAAAGAGGCAGGAGAGAAGAAAGCACAGGAGCAAGUCAUUUAUCAUCCAUUGUGACCAUCGCUUCCCUGUCACGAGUGGGGGUGGGACAGGGGGCUGGAAGGCUGUAAAGCACAAGCAGAAAAUAAUUCCAGGCCAUGCCUGCCUGCUCCACACUUGGUUUGGAAAAAGAAAAUAAAAUUCGAAUGACGUCCUUAAGGCCCCCUUUCUCUCUUCCUGUCUGCGGACGCCCCUGAAGCAGUGCCGCCAAGGGCUCCCUCCGCCCUCUGCAUCAGCUCCCUGGGCCUUCUGCCCGGCCACAGAAACAGGUGCUUUCGGGAGGAGCCCGGACGCCAAGCUUAACAGGGAGGUUCUGAAGCAUGGCAGAGCCCGAGAACCUUUUCCAUCAAGUGUCGGCAAAAUCGCUGGGAUCUUUUCGUCUGCCUCAAGCUACCAUCGUACAUUGUGCCGUUGUACUGAAUGGUACCAUUGUACCACUGUACCAAAACCUUCACAUUAGUGUGGGGGAGGAAAAACUUUUCCUCUGCCCUCUUGGGUUCAGUGUUUUGGGACUGUGAAUUAAACUGACCUGUCUGAGACAGACUGGCAAGAGAAA
Microcebus murinus (gray mouse lemur) is the source of this 4219-nucleotide non-coding RNA. NCBI's taxonomy places the organism in Eukaryota, Metazoa, Chordata, Mammalia, Primates, Cheirogaleidae. The record is from RefSeq and is a predicted model, not a curated record.